RNAcentral lists this long non-coding RNA (701 nucleotides) under Salvia miltiorrhiza (redroot sage). Its description in RNAcentral is "long non-coding RNA (SMIL_LNC007067)". The record is from RNAcentral. Lineage: Eukaryota; Viridiplantae; Streptophyta; Magnoliopsida; Lamiales; Lamiaceae.
UAUUAGGUAAUUUAUUUAAUUCUUUCUACAGUUUUUGUCUCAAUACAGCAGAUAUUCUCCUUUUAUUUUGAAAUGAUACAGCAAAUAGUCUUCCACAGAAACACCUUGAAUUUCAGAAAUCCCAGCCACCCAAAUUUCAGUUCAGAUUUAAUAAAAUGUUUCUUCUAAUCUAAAACAUAUAGAAUGAAAUUAGAAAGUUAGAAGUAGAAUGGAUAUGGGAAGUUGUUGCCGCCGGAAGGGAGGAAGUAGGGCGGCGACGGUUGAUCCAGAAGGGGGGGACGCAGCUGCCGUGCGCUGUUGCUGGUGGAAGGAAGCAGGGGCGGCGGCGCGGUGGCCUCGGCCGCUGCUGUGCUGUUCCGGUCGGGGAGAGGCUGCUGAAGGACUGCUGCUGUUGACCAAACGAGGGAGAGAGGAGGGUGAAGGUGUUGCCGGGCAGGAGAGGGUGGUGGCUGGCGGCGAGGGUCGCCGGAGAAGGCGCGGCCGCGGUUGCGGCUGGUGCGGCGAGGACAGGGACAGGGGAGGAGGAAGAGAGAUGAGGGAGGGAAGUCGACGGAGAGGGAGAGAUGAGGGAAGAGGGAGAGAGGUCGAGGAGAGGACAGGGGGAGGCAGAGCCGCCGGCGCUCGGCGGCGGCGUGCCUUCUGGUGGCAGCGGCAGGAGGCCGAGAAGAGGAGAGGGAGGAGGGCUGAAUAAUGAGUGAGAG